UGAGGGAUAUUGGUCAAUGGGCGCAAGCCUGAACCAGCGACGCCGCGUGGGUGAAGAAGGUCUUCGGAUCGUAAAGCCCUUUUCCCACUGAAGAGGAAGGACGGUAGGUGGGGAAGAAGUCUCGGCUAACUACGUGCCAGCAGCCGCGGUAAAACGUAGGAGACAAGCGUUAUCCGGAGUUACUGGGCGUAAAGGGCGUGCAGGUGGCGUCUUAAGUCUGUUGUGAAAGCGCCUGGCUUAACCGGGCGAGGCCGAUGGAGACUGAGAGGCUGGAGGACGGCGGAGGGGUGUGGAAUUCCGGGUGUAGUGGUGAAAUGCGUAGAGAUCCGGAGGAACACCAGAGGCGAAGGCGGCACUCUAAGCCGUACCUGACACUGAGACGCGACAGCACGGGGAGCAAACG
Molecule: ribosomal RNA, 403 nt
Filed under: uncultured bacterium
Lineage: Bacteria
Description: bacterial SSU rRNA
Rfam family: Bacterial small subunit ribosomal RNA
Source: RNAcentral